This 21-nucleotide non-coding RNA is filed under the name Arabidopsis thaliana (thale cress). The record is from RNAcentral. Lineage: Eukaryota; Viridiplantae; Streptophyta; Magnoliopsida; Brassicales; Brassicaceae.
UCAGAAUCAGAGUUGGUGCAG